UUAAUUCAUCCUUCUUCCCUUACUCUGCCUCAGAAUCUCAGGAAAAGAAGCUCUCUUUACUCUUUACCACUCCAAAAUUCACUCCCUGUUAGCUCACUCUGUUUCUCUUUCUCUUUUGCUUCCAAAAGGGUUCUCAAAGAUUGGAUCUUUUUGCCUUUUUGGGGUUUUUUUUAAGCCAUGGCUGCAACUCUUGCUACAUGUUCAAGUGCACCACCAAGCUUUUACUUUGAUGAUAAAUGGAAGUUGUCAAAGAAAGAAAGCUCAUCAAGAAGCAGGUCUUCUUCAACAUCUUCAUUCAUCAAGAAUUCUUCUUCUUCUUCCUCCUCUCAUAAGAGAUGUGCUUUUACAAGGAAAUGCGCCAGGCUGGUCAAAGAGCAAAGGGCACGUUUUUACAUCAUGCGGCGCUGCGUUACCAUGCUUAUAUGCUGGCGUGACUACACUGAUUCUUGAGAAGAAGCCAAAAACAGAAAGUGCUCUCUCUUUUUUCCUUUUUCUUUGAGAUGGUUUCUUGGCCUUUUUGGGGUUAGCUUAGCUAGCUAGGCUUUCGUUUCUUUUCUUUUCUUGUCUUUUCUUGGCAUCCAAGCAGGAGGAAGAGGAAGAUUAUCAACUUAUAUAUAUACUUGUAUAUAAAGAUUUGUUCUUUUUGCCUUUUUUGCGUUGGGAUUAGAAAUUGUAGAUCUUUUUCUCUGAAUCUCCAUUGAAGGAGAUGAUGGGUUCUUCUUAAUGUGACUGUUACUUCCAAUCAAAUGAUUAAUAUUAAUAUAAAUAGAGUGAAUCAAUUAUAGUUUUUAUUCAUAUCUAUGGCUGCUUCUUUUUUCUGGGUUUGUUCUUGAUUUCUGAGAUCUCAAAGACUCUCUAAAAUCUUUGAGAGAGAGAGAGAGAGAUUCCAUUCAACCAUUGCAGGGUUAGCUCUGUGUGGAUCUGGUGUGGUGUUGCUGACACAGAUUACUAUUUAAUUAUAUUAAUUUAAUUAUUUUUAGACACAUUUGGAGGUGUGACAACCC
This 1004-nucleotide long non-coding RNA is filed under the name Theobroma cacao (cacao). Its description in RNAcentral is "long non-coding RNA (TCAC_LNC005743)". The record is from RNAcentral. Lineage: Eukaryota; Viridiplantae; Streptophyta; Magnoliopsida; Malvales; Malvaceae.